RNAcentral lists this long non-coding RNA (207 nucleotides) under Brassica rapa (field mustard). RNAcentral's name for it is "long non-coding RNA (BRAP_LNC003507)". Lineage: Eukaryota; Viridiplantae; Streptophyta; Magnoliopsida; Brassicales; Brassicaceae. The record is from RNAcentral.
CGGGAAGGACCUUGCGAAAUGGUUUACCGGUUGGCCAAGUGAUCGGGUGGUCAAGGCGAGCGAGCCGAUAAUGUAUUUAAGAUAUUGAUUACUAGUUUUGGUCAAAAGUGAAAUCAAACUCCAUAAAACAGUUGACUUUGUUUAUUUUUGACCCCAAUAAAGUUGAAACUAGAUUUUGGAAGCACAAUGAAUGAACUUAGCCCAUAU